RNAcentral lists this ribosomal RNA (490 nucleotides) under uncultured bacterium. RNAcentral's name for it is "partial 16S ribosomal RNA". It matches the Rfam family "Bacterial small subunit ribosomal RNA", at positions 30 to 507 of the family's 1533-position model. The record is from RNAcentral.
AUUGAACGCUGGCGGCAGGCCUAACACAUGCAAGUCGAACGGUAACAGGAAACAGCUUGCUGUUUCGCUGACGAGUGGCGGACGGGUGAGUAAUGUCUGGGAAACUGCCUGAUGGAGGGGGAUAACUACUGGAAACGGUAGCUAAUACCGCAUAACGUCGCAAGACCAAAGAGGGGGACCUUCGGGCCUCUUGCCAUCGGAUGUGCCCAGAUGGGAUUAGCUAGUAGGUGGGGUAACGGCUCACCUAGGAGACGAUCCCUAGCUGGUCUGAGAGGAUGACCAGCCACACUGGAACUGAGACACGGUCCAGACUCCGACGGGAGGCAGCAGUGGGGAAUAUUGCACAAUGGGCGCAAGCCUGAUGCAGCCAUGCCGCGUGUAUGAAGAAGGCCUUCGGGUUGUAAAGUACUUUCAGCGGGGAGGAAGGGAGUAAAGUUAAUACCUUUGCUCAUUGACGUUACCCGCAGAAGAAGCACCGGCUAACUCCGUG